CCCGCCCCGCCGCCCCCCGCCGGACUGGCCGCCCCGGCGGGCGCUGGCUCCCUUAAAGGCCGCCCGGCUCGCUCGGCUCCGCUCGCCUCGGCGCUGUCAGGGAAGGGGCCGGCCCGCCGCGCCGGGAGGGAGCUUUUAAAGCGACACACACGCCUCCCAACCCCGAGGGCCAAGCGCGCGAGCCUGGCUGGGGAGGUCUCGCCACCCGGGCAAGGGGGAAGGGUCUCGCUGGCGGGGCUGGAGGCGGACUGACUGGACCCCACGCCGGCUGACCUGAGGCACGGAGGGGCAGCGUUCUGGAUGGGGACUGUGAGUGAGGAGGACAAAAAAGAAAGGAGAAAUUUGGUUGGAAAUCCCAGAGAUUGUUCAUCAUGUGAGAGGAGCCGUGCAUGCAUUUCAUGCCGUACUCACACCAUGGAUGGAGAAAAAAUCAAGCUUCACUUUCUGAGAAUGGCCCUGGGGGCACUGCAGCUAGUGCCUGUGCAUCUGCAGCCCUGCCGAAUGCCUCCAGGUGAAUCAUGCCACCCCAAGCAAGAAAAGUCCCAGUUGCCAGGAGCCUGAAGGCAGAGAACUGAGGAGCCAGCCCCUGACAUCAGAAUGGAGCUUAAAGGUUGGCUGGGUGUGACUCUUUGCCGUGGACAGGUUCUCUUGGGAAAUCUACUUUAAUGAAUCCAGAGGAGCAAUUUGUAAUCAGCCCAUCAAAUGUUCAGCGACACUUAGCUGGAAUCUCAUUGCUGGACUCUGUGCCCCGCAGUGGAUGACAGUUCUCCAUCAGGGUCUGCAGUUCUCUACCCUGGACCUGCUGCAUCCUGGAGCCCCCAGCAGUCAGGUCCGUGUGGAUCUGUGUCUGUGUACACCAUGGCCCCAUCUCCCAGCAGCUCCCAUGGCUUGUAUCCAUGGAAACGCAGUCCUCCCCAACUAUGAUUCUCUGCUGACAAACCCUGGGAGUCUCCCCAGCCCCCUACCCACCUCGGAGAGGGAGCGUGGACCACAAAGGCUCCAGGCGGCAGGAGGGCGGCACUGUGGAGGAGGUGGCCACUUUCUCAGUUGCUUCGAAGGGCCAGGCAAGGCCAGGCCUCCACGACCUUCCUCCGUGGGUCUGUGGUCAAGGCCUUGUCACCUGCUUAAGGGAAGCGGCCUGAUGAGAGAGCCCUCACUGAGGCCCUGGGCCCUGGUGGGAUGAAGUUGGCAGGGCAGUCCCUGAGGGCUGUUGGCAGUGUGGCAGGGGAGGCGGGGAGGGGUUGCUGCCCUCACCAGUGGGGAGCACUAGCACUUGGGAGAGGGAGGCUGGGGAGUAGGGAGAGGGC
This is a long non-coding RNA of Rhinopithecus bieti (black snub-nosed monkey), 1307 nucleotides long. Lineage: Eukaryota; Metazoa; Chordata; Mammalia; Primates; Cercopithecidae. The record is from Ensembl.